ACGCACGCUGGCGGCGUGCUUAACACAUGCAAGUCGAACGGGCCCGCCCCUGUUUUUGGGGGUGGGUUGAGUGGCGAACGGGUGAGUAUCACGUGAGUAACCUGCCCCCUGCUCCUGGAUAACUGCUUGAAAGGGCGGCUAAUACGGGGUGUGCCGGCUGGUCCGCAUGGGCCGGGUCGGGAUAGUCUCAUCUUCGGGUGUUUCGGUGGGGGAUGGGCUCGCGGCCUAUCAGCUUGUUGGUGGGGUGAUGGCCCACCAAGGCGGUGGCGGGUAGCCGGCCUGGGAGGGUGCGCGGCCGAGAGGGGACUGAGGCACGGCCGGGGCUCCUGCGGGAGGCGGCGGUGGGGGGUGUUGCACGAUGGGAGGAAGCCUGAUGCAGCGGCGGCGCGUGAGGGGUGGAGGCCUUCGGGUAGUGAACCUCUUUCUCCGGUGGUGAAGGCCCUGUCCGUUGCGGCGGGGUUGACGGUAGCCGGGUAUGAAGCGCCGGCUAACUACGUG
RNAcentral lists this ribosomal RNA (498 nucleotides) under uncultured bacterium. RNAcentral's name for it is "partial 16S ribosomal RNA". It matches the Rfam family "Bacterial small subunit ribosomal RNA", at positions 29 to 507 of the family's 1533-position model. The record is from RNAcentral.